RNAcentral lists this transfer RNA (67 nucleotides) under Dipodomys ordii (Ord's kangaroo rat). It matches the Rfam family "tRNA". Rfam says of the family: Transfer RNA (tRNA) molecules are approximately 80 nucleotides in length. The record is from Rfam by way of RNAcentral. Lineage: Eukaryota; Metazoa; Chordata; Mammalia; Rodentia; Heteromyidae.
GGUGGCUCAGUUGUAGAGCACUUGCCUUGAAAGCAUGAGGCCCUGGGUUUGAUUCCUCAGCACACCA